This 699-nucleotide long non-coding RNA is filed under the name Marmota monax (woodchuck). The record is from RNAcentral. Lineage: Eukaryota; Metazoa; Chordata; Mammalia; Rodentia; Sciuridae.
UGGGCGAAGUGGUGCAUGCCUGUAAUCUCAGAGACUCAGGAGGCUGAGGCAGGAAGAUCACAAAUUCAAAGCUAGCCUGAGCAAUUUAGUGAGACUCUAAGACACUCAAAGCAUAUUUAGGGAGUUGCAUCUGAGUGGUAGGGAAUGCAAGGCCCUGGAUUUGCUGGGGAAAGGCAAGAAGCUUAUCACAUGUCUGUGUUUCCAAUCUUACCUACUCUACAAUCUGUUCUUCACAUGGCUACCAAAGAAAAUCUGGUUAAGUCAUACCUCUGCUUAAAUCUCUCUAGUGACUUUCUAUUCCAUUUAGAAUACUUUCUAAAUUCCUUCCUAGAACUUACAAGACUCUAUAUAGCCAGGCAUAGUGGUGCACGCCUAUAAUACUAUCAAUCUAUAACUACAAAAAGUAAAUAAAUAAAAUAAAGGUCCAUCAACAACUAAAAAAUACACAUUUUUUUUUUAAAGAAAGGAAAAAACGUCUUAAGGAACUUCUUCUCUUCACUAGAGAAGGAAAGGUACUGUCAAUAUGGGCUGGGGUUGUGGCUCAGUGGUAGAAUACUUGCCUAGCACAUGCAAGGCCCUGGGUUCAAUCCUCAGCACCACAUAAAUAAAUAAAGCUAUUGUAUUCAGCUACAACUAAAAAAUAAUAUUUUUUUUUAAAAAAAAGAACUGUCAAGGGGCUGGGGUUGUGGCUCAGUGGUA